GCUGACUCUCUUUUCAGAUUCAGCCCAGUUGCACCCAAGUAAAAUAAACAGUCUUGUUGCUCACACAAAGCCUGUUGGUGGACUCUCUUCAUAUGGACUCAUGUGACAUUUGGUGCCGAAGACCUGAGACAGGAGGACUCCUUUGGGAGACCGGUCCCCUGUCCUCGCCCUCUCUCCAUGAGAUCCACCCAUGACCUCGGGUCCUCAGCCCAGCCGAAGGAACUUCUCACCAAUUUUAAAUCGGAUGUGAAUCAGUGCAAGGGCCCAGGACAGCGGAAGAGGUGUGAAGCCAUCCUGUGAUCGGGAAGCCACAGGGUGUCCAGACCCAGCGGGAGCCGAGGAUUCAGGAGAAUCUCCCCAGUCAGCUCCAGAGGUGCCCACAGUGUGAGCUCUAGUGUCUCCCAGGUAGGGGCCAAAGCGUCACCUGCCCGGCCCUGGGGGUGCAAGUGGAGUGGAUUUUACUCCUGUCCAGAAAAUGGAGUGAGACCCUGUCUCUAAAUAAAUACAUACAU
This is a long non-coding RNA of Homo sapiens (human), 512 nucleotides long. Ensembl annotates it as IGFL2 antisense RNA 1. Its record names the gene IGFL2-AS1. Lineage: Eukaryota; Metazoa; Chordata; Mammalia; Primates; Hominidae. The record is from Ensembl.